Triticum aestivum (bread wheat) is the source of this 117-nucleotide non-coding RNA. The record is from Rfam. NCBI's taxonomy places the organism in Eukaryota, Viridiplantae, Streptophyta, Magnoliopsida, Poales, Poaceae.
GUUAUACUCCCUCCGUCCGGAAAUACUUGUCAUCAAAAUGGGUAAAAGGGAUGUAUCUAGAUACAUCCCUUUUUGUCCAUUUUGAUGACAAGUAUUUUCCGACAGAGGGAGUAUAUA